AAAUCUAUUCAGAAUUCAGUUCUCAGUCAUGCAUCGAUAGAUACUUGAUUUAAGGUAUCCUUGUUAAUUUCUUGUACUGAAAUUUUUUAUAGAAAUAUUCUAUAAAAAUUUCUUUAUUUUAUCAUCGCUCAAUUUAAAUUUUGGCAAAUUUAUCACUAUAGAUUCAUAUUCAAAAAUCUAAGUCAAGGCGUAAAUUCAAAAUGGCGAAAAUAAUUUUGUUAUUAUGUAUUUUCUUAUUAAUUGGAAUAUAUUCUAGUGCUGAUGCAGGCUGUGACGGCAAAUGGUGUCAUCCGUCACAGGGUCAUAAUUGUUGUCAAAAUCAUGUAUGCAGUGCGCAGUUCUGGCAAGGUAAUUGCAUACCACUGGAAGAUUGGUUGUGGCGACGAGGAAAAUAAAAAUUUGGAAUUAUUUGUCACGAUAAUUAUCAUGACAAGAAUAAUAUCAUUAUUCUGUAAUAUUAUUCUAUAUAAAUAAUAAAUAUCAAUAAAAAACUCAAUAAUA
Molecule: long non-coding RNA, 501 nt
Organism: Microplitis mediator
Lineage: Eukaryota; Metazoa; Arthropoda; Insecta; Hymenoptera; Braconidae
Exons: 3
Source: RefSeq, a predicted model, not a curated record